RNAcentral lists this unclassified non-coding RNA (270 nucleotides) under rhizosphere metagenome. Its description in RNAcentral is "partial ribosomal RNA internal transcribed spacer region". The record is from RNAcentral.
GAAUAAACCUGGCGUGAUUGUUGCUGGUCCUCUCGGGGGCAUGUGCACAUCCGUCAUCUUUAUCUUUCCACCUGUGCACAUUUUGUAGAUCUGAAAUAUUUUUUCCGAGGCAACUCGUUUUGAGGGAUUGCUGUGCAUAUCAGUGUCGGCUUCUCUUGGAAUUUCAGGUCUAUGUUUUCACAUACACCAUAAAAAUGUAAUAGAAUGUUAUUCUUGGGCCUUGUUGCCUAUAAACUAUAUACAACUUUCAGCAACGGAUCUCUUGGCUCU